This 252-nucleotide ribosomal RNA is filed under the name uncultured bacterium. Its description in RNAcentral is "partial 16S ribosomal RNA". It matches the Rfam family "Bacterial small subunit ribosomal RNA", at positions 524 to 776 of the family's 1533-position model. The record is from RNAcentral.
UACGUAGGGGGCAAGCGUUGUCCGGAAUUAUUGGGCGUAAAGCGCGCGCAGGCGGUUUCUUAAGUCCGGUGUAUAAGCCUGGGGCUCAACCCCGGGAGGCACGGGAAACUGGGAGGCUUGAGUGCAGAAGAGGAGAGUGGAAUUCCACGUGUAGCGGUGAAAUGCGUAGAGAUGUGGAGGAACACCAGUGGCGAAGGCGACUCUCUGGUCUGUAACUGACGCUGAGGCGCGAAAGCGUGGGGAGCAAACAGG